GGGGUGUCCCCGUGACCGAGGUGAUGUGGCACCCCUGGGGUGAGCGUGAGUGUCCUACUGCUUGGUCCGACAGGGGACUUCCACACUUUCAGUUUAAACAUCCCCCCUUGACUUAGGUGCAGUGAACUGUGCAUGCACCAGAGGAAUGAUUCGGUCACAGAUGCAGCCCGGUGAGGGGACAGCAGGUGUGAGCAGGGGUUCCAGACCCCUACAUACAAAAAAAGCUAUCUGAUGGCAGAAGUGCAUUGCUAUAUUGCUGGAGAAGUUGCAACAAGAUCUCCUAGAAGAGACUGAAAUAGAAAUAUUCAGCUUUGAAAGCUUAAUUAUCCUAGGUGAAAGGGUAAUUAGGCAGUGGUUUCUGAGCAAGGAUGGUGGAACCUUUAUCACUUGGCAUCCUCAAAGCCAGACGAGGUGUUGUGGUGGAAGAUAAGCUUCAGUCCGGCGUGCAGGGUGAAGAGGUAAGCUAUGCGCUCAGGAUGUCAGCCUCAACAGCCAUCUCUCUUCUUGCACCUUAGAGCCCUUGCAGCGGAGCUGCACAGAGCUACAGCUCGGCUGAGGAGCACCUCUGUUGAGCACCUCCAGCAUCUGGAUGACUUUGGCUCAGCACUUUCUGGACAUGGCAGAGAAGGGCUGUUUUGGAGGGGAGCUGGUCUGAGCUUACAGGUUUGAGCGUUGUUCUUCAUCUGCCUCUUUCCACCAGCAGCCCAGUGCAAGAAGUGCCCUCUCUACCAAUGCUGAUUUUUGCACAUCCUGAGGGUUUUUACUCAGAUCUCUCCCGGGGAACCUCAGCAUCCCUUUUCAUCACUAAAUGAAGCUUCAGGAGAGCUUUGCUCUGUGAGUUCAGCCUGAACCACCAGCCUGACAAAAGCUGCUGUCUCACGGACUAGAGAUGGAGAAGUCAUUCAGGAUAAAGAUGAGAGAACCUUUCAGAAGCCUUGAAUCAAGCACUUCUGAAGAGUUUAUAAGAAAUAUCCCCACUUGCCAAGAGUAAAUCUGACAGGUAUCGUACACACACACCUCCCCCCCCCCCGAUGAUGUUUCCCUGCCCCUCACAGGAGGAAAAUAACGAAGCGCUACUGCUGCAGAAAGCAAUCAGAUAAUGCUCGUUUCUAAUUGCUGCUGGCAGGAAAGCCUCAUUGUGCUCCGAUUUUGGUGAAGCAAGUUUUAAUUGCUGAAGUUCAGCCACAAAUGUUUGCUACCUCUUCCCCAAAAGGCUGUAGUUUCACCGAAUGCCAUAGGAGCUGCUGAGGAUUUGUGAGGAAUAAUUCUGCAGCUGGCUGCAAGCAGCUGUGCGCCGUGGCAUGUGAUGGCUGGGCAAGAUGCACCCAAGGAGAUGCAGGUGGGUGGUGGGAACCCCAGCUGGAGGGGCUGUGCAACUGCCAACUGUUUCCAAGAAACACAAUAUUUGGACACCUAAGUACGCCACAGACAUCUUGCUCAGCCAUCAUGGGGAAGGAAUGUGCCCCCUCCCCAGUUUGUUCUUAGGAAGCCUGCUGGGGCCGGCCGUGCCCACCCUCCGGGGACCAGAUGGGCACCAGAAGCAGCAGAAGAAAAGCAGAGCUACCCUGUCAAGAUAUUUCAGUAGAUUUGAAGCAGCUGAGUGGUUUCAUACCAAACGAGCACACUGUGCUGGGGGGCCAGCCGCUUUGAGCCAGAACCUGCAGGCCUGAAGCACCUUCUCCUCUGCUGUCUCUGUGCAGCCUCGCACUUUCCUACCUCUAUUCACCCGCUUUUAAAGUGGGGUGAAUACCCUUGCAGCACAGAUCUGUUAAAAGCAAUGAAGAGAGUGGCUGGCCAGACUCCUAGUUUUGCCUGGUUUUCUGAAAACUGCAGGGGAUUUUUCCUUUCCAUUUAGUAUGGUUAGGUGCAGGAAUAUUAUACAAUUUUUUCCCCACUACUCUGAGAUAAAAAGUCACUUCUUCCUACCUUUAAAACAAUAAAAAUUAAACUAGUUAUUUAAAAAAAAAAAAAAAGGAAAAGAAAAAGGCCAUAAACUGCUUUCUUUUUGUUCCUUUGGUAUAACACUAAAGUGACAAUGGAAAGAGGAAGCGCCUCACAGCUGGAGCCACAACAGGCGAUCCUGUGCUGCUGCUGGCACAUCGUCACCCACUUAUCUCUUAACUUCACCCAUCUUGUGGGUCAACUGCCUCCCAGAGCAGAGGCACUACAGGCCCCUCCGCAGGCUCCAGAAGGGCUCCAGAAAAGGCUGUGUCCCUGCACCAUUUCAUGCUGCUGUGCCCCACAGCUUAAUAGGACCACAGAACCAUUUAGGUUGGAAAAGCCCUUUAAGAUCAUCGAGUUCAAACGUUAACCCAGCACUGCCAAGUCCACCCCUAAACUGUGGUGCUCAGUGCCACACCUACACGUCUUUUAAAUACCUCCAGGGAUGGUGACUCCACCACUUCCCUGACUGUCACAUCAUUUCUGGGGACUUCGCAGUGGAUUUAGUUCAAACCCAGACAAGUGCCAACUGGCUGGAGCAGGAGUUUGCCAGGGCCAGCUCAGUGGGGUACUCGUUGGCACGAGGUUUAAUUUUGGGAAUUCCACAAACAGCACAAGAAAGUGGUGUGAAAUGGUUCUCUCCCUCAUUGGCUUAACUUCAUUCCUGAUUCCAGAGCAGGGGUUUGCUUUAAAGGCAGAAGGAGCAGCGCUGCCAGCAGAUAAGAGUGUUUGGAUCCGGGAUGGGCAAUUUGCUCACCGCAGCCCUUUGGUUGCUUAAGUCAACACUAAACACAGACACACAGCUUUGAAUCACGCCCAGGUGCAACCUUCACUCCUGUAAACCAGCCUGGAGAUGUUUAGCGACCGGGAGAACCCAAACACUUGGAAACAGGUAUCUUCCAAAGCAGCUUUUCUGUUCGAUGUUAAUGCAAAUUCCAAGUAAAUGCUGAUUGUUUCAGAAGGACCUGCCUGGUGAGAUGGUAGAAAUGAUGCUGUGACCCAAAACAAAUGCCAGGCCUUGUUGUAUGAGCACAGAAACCUCCGGUGUCCUCAGCUGGAUCCCGGGGCUGUGGCAGUGGGGCAGAUGCCAGCCAAACACCUCCCAUCCGUGUGAUCCAUCGGCGUGCGGGAGAGCCAGAGACCCCCCGCCACGGCCUUCCUCUGGCGUGUCGGUGAGAACCGGGCAGCUGGGUACCCACUAGGGACCGGCAGAAAGUUAAAAGCCAAAGAAAGGUAAAAAAUAAAGAAAGUAAAAGCUGAGCAGCCCAUCUCUGGGUGUGCGUUACAGGCUGCUGUACAUGAUACGUAGAAUUAAAUUGCUGAAGAACCGGUUCUGGUUUAGGUUUACGUUCCCUCAGUAAGUAAAACAGGGUAAUUUGGCACUUCACGGCCACUUUCAUUUGAAGGUUUAAUGAUGACCGACACCUCUAAGGCUGCAUGCCACUGCUUGCUCUAUUUGUUAGUGUCCUUUAUGUAUUUGUUAAUAAUUUUGAGCCAUCUUUAGUGGCACACCGGUUGCCAGCUGAGGGAGUGCAAAAACUGGCUGAAAUGCAAAAAUUUUCAGUGCUUUUCCUUUAACAUCUUCCACUGUUGAAAGAAGACCUGAUGGAUUAGCCAGGCAAAUGGGCGUUGCACGCAGGUAGGUAAAUACCAUGCUGCUGAUCCUGAAACUCAGAUAAACACUUGUGCCCAGUUAUUUCCUUCAAAAAGACCUCCAUGUGAAGGCGACUCAUCCCAUGUUGUACACUUGAACAUCUUUGCCCGCCAAGCACGCCGUGGUUUGUAAUACUCUGGUCUUCCCAGAUCUAUGGAUGGAAUUAAAGGAAGGUGAGAACAUCCCCCCAGCAGUGCUCCUCAGAGGUGUGUGCAGCUGGUGCUGGUGACUACAAAUAGAACCGAUCGCACGGACUCUGCUGGGGUUCUGUAUGUGAGGUUUUGUGUUUCUUUAAUUGUUUGGGGCUUUUUUCCCACUUGUUCUUCCUUUUUCGGUUUUCAUCCUAUGGCAAAGCAUGGGUUUAGGUUUUUUACUUGGACUGUGCAAACUGACUGGGAGUCUGGCAAACAAAAAAGAGGAAUAAAGAAUUGUGCUACUGG
Long non-coding RNA from Falco peregrinus (peregrine falcon), 4035 nucleotides. RefSeq lists it as uncharacterized. The transcript has 2 exons. The record is from RefSeq and is a predicted model, not a curated record. NCBI's taxonomy places the organism in Eukaryota, Metazoa, Chordata, Aves, Falconiformes, Falconidae.